AUCUAAGUGGGAAACUUGUCUCAAGAUUAGAUUUCUGUACCUUUAUGGUAAUAAGACCUCCGCGAGACUAGCGGUUUGAUAGGCUGCAUGUGUAAGUCUAGCAAUGGAUUGAGCAGAGCAGUACUAAUUGGUCGAAUCAAUUUAUUUC
Molecule: ribosomal RNA, 148 nt
Filed under: bacterium
Lineage: Bacteria
Description: partial 23S ribosomal RNA
Rfam family: Bacterial large subunit ribosomal RNA
Source: RNAcentral